This is a long non-coding RNA of Hemicordylus capensis (graceful crag lizard), 2097 nucleotides long. RefSeq lists it as uncharacterized. NCBI's taxonomy places the organism in Eukaryota, Metazoa, Chordata, Lepidosauria, Squamata, Cordylidae. The transcript has 7 exons. The record is from RefSeq and is a predicted model, not a curated record.
CUGUAGUUCUUUGCCGCCUUUCUCCCAGGCGCUCCUAUGGCUCUCCCGCACGCCAAGGACUACGUCUCCCAGGAGGCUCCGCGGCGACUCCGCCGGUACACGUGCCCGCCUCUCCCUAAGCCAUGGUCGCGCGGAGCGGGCCAGCGCGUUUUUCAAAGGGCUGCUGGGAGUCGUAGUCCUGCCGCUUGUAGGCUGCUGACUUCGCUAUGGGGAUAGUUGAUCAUAACAAACCGAGGCAGGGGUGCAGGGAGUUGGUUGUUUGCGGAAAGUUCCCUGUGGAAGAAGAGAAGGGGUUUGUUGUGUCUUUUUAAAAAAAGCAAAACAGCAGACCAGCACCAGUCUUUGGCAGAAGAUGAACCGUCAGUUUGUUGAAGAUCGGAUUGUAGAGCUGGACACCCUUCCCUUCAUCUGGAAUGUGGAAAGAGCCAGGCCACAUUGCUCUCUCAGUAUGAAGAUGUCCCGUCUUAAACAAUUAGCAUUCACCUUUGAAUUUGGAUCCGUAAACCCCAGCUGAGGUCUCUGGAUGGCGUGCAGAACCUGCCUCAACUCUGCAAGCUGCACGUGCAGAAGAAUCAUCUUUCCAGCCUGCUGCCUCUUGCUUCCUCACUCUCUCUCAACAUCCUGGAUGCCUCUGGCAAUGACGUUGGUGGGCUGCCAAAGGCUUUGCACGUGCUCUGAGGGCUCCGUAGGCUGAAGCAGCUCACGCUCAAGGAUAACCCCUUGGCCCGAGACAACCGCUACAUCACUUCUAUCAAAGAGUCCACCUCUGUGGAGAUCCUAGAUGACAUGUUUCUUCAGAGCCCACCAAAGCUCUCUGCUCUCCCUUUGUGCAUGUGGCCCUUUCUCCGGGAAUCAGCAUCCAGUUCAACCGAUGCAGCCCAAGCAAAAGACGACUUGAAAGAGGUGGCCAGGAGGCUCUUCCAAGCAAGGCUUCGGCAGAAGAAAGAUUGCAUCAGCUGCGCCAUACACCACUUCCAUUCUAGGAUAUUGGAACUGCAGGAAGAACUGACAGAAUACGAAGAAAGACACAGACUAGAAACGGAUGGGUGUGUAAGAUACAUACAGGCUCUCCCUUCGGAGGAUUUUCUGCAUUUUGACAGUCCUGGGCAGCUCACUGAAGCCAUGGACAAUUACCUGUUCAGCAAAUUUUGGGAAAAGUGCAGAGUGGAAGGAGGAAACCAGCCAAUCUACCUUAUAAGGAGCUGACCAAACCAGAAGAUGUAAUAAAGGCUACUGCUUGCCUGCUUGCAAAUCCACCACACAGCUGCUCCCCUGCUAUCUGAAGCACUUUCCUUUGAGAAUCCUGCAUAAUGGGGAGCCUUUCUCUAAGAGGCCCCAGUCGACAAAAGGACUCUGAAAAUUGCUUUGAUGCUCUUCUUCUUGCUUGGAUAGACAUUGAGGAGUGACUUAUUGUAUGUGGUGAUGUAAGGGACUGUAAUAGUAAGCUUAUCUGUUCAUAACUUUAACAUAACUUUUGCAUUGAAAGUGAUCUUAAGGCUUUGCAAGUUAGGCUGCAUAACAGAUGCAUCAAUGUCCAGAACAUGAGAAGUAAUCUUUCCACUCUAUUCUGUGCUGGUCAGAUCCCAGUUGGAAUCCUGUCUCCAGUCCUGGACCCCACAUUUAAAGAAGGACAUCGGUAAACUGGAAUGGUUCAGAGGAGGUCAACAAAGAUGGAAUGGCCAAUAAAUGAAUGGUCAACAGGUUGUCAGAGGGGCCUUUGCUCCAUGUGUCAAUGCUGAGAAAGGCUGAAUUGCCAUGCACACCGGACUGGGCCUUCUCUGUUGUUGCCCCUAGGCUCUGGAAUGCUCUCCCCAUGCAUGUUUGCUCUUUGACGUCUGUGGCUGCUUUUAAAAAACAACUAAAGACCUUUUAAUUUGUUCAGGCUGUUGCCUCUUAGGGGCUGCCGGGUCUCUCAGCUCUCUUGCUUCUGCUUGUCUUUUUUAUGGUGGUUGUUCUUUUGAUGUUUAAUGGUUUUUACUGUUUACUGAUUUUAAGGUUUUAAAUGUGAUUUUUAUGGAGUUUUGUUGUAUUUUAACUUCUGUAAACCACUUUGGGAUUUCUUAUGGAAGGCAGUAUUAUAAUUGAACAAUAAAAUUA